GACAGUUUGGCCGAGUGGUUAAGGCGGCAGACUCGAAAUCUGCUGGGUUCGCCCGCACAGGUUCAAAUCCUGUAGCUGUCG
This 81-nucleotide transfer RNA is filed under the name Cladophialophora carrionii CBS 160.54. RNAcentral's name for it is "tRNA-Ser (CGA) (tRNA-Ser-CGA-1-1)". It matches the Rfam family "tRNA". From Rfam's summary of the family: Transfer RNA (tRNA) molecules are approximately 80 nucleotides in length. Their secondary structure includes four short double-helical elements and three loops (D, anti-codon, and T loops). RNAcentral also lists the same sequence under 3 other names. Lineage: Eukaryota; Fungi; Ascomycota; Eurotiomycetes; Chaetothyriales; Herpotrichiellaceae. The record is from RNAcentral.